Molecule: RNase P RNA, 422 nt
Filed under: Fertoeibacter niger
Lineage: Bacteria; Pseudomonadati; Pseudomonadota; Alphaproteobacteria; Rhodobacterales; Paracoccaceae
Description: Bacterial RNase P class A
Rfam family: Bacterial RNase P class A
About the family: Ribonuclease P (RNase P) is a ubiquitous endoribonuclease, found in archaea, bacteria and eukarya as well as chloroplasts and mitochondria.
Source: Rfam by way of RNAcentral
GCGGAUGGCUGGAUGACCGCGUGUCGCAAGAUGCGAGGAAAGUCCGGACUCCAUGAGGCAAGGGUGCCGGGUAACGCCCGGCCGGGGCAACCCGAGGGAAAGCGCCACAGAGAAGAGUCUGCCCCGAGAGGUGCGAAGGUUCGCCUUUGGCACAUCGGGGUGAUGGUGAAACGGCGGGGUAAGAGCCCACCGCGGACCGGGCAACCGGGACGGCAAGGCAAGCCCCACCCGGAGCAAUGCCGAAUAGGGGCCUCGCGCGGGUCUGGUCCGACGGCGCUAGCCGGGGGAUACCGCCGCAGGGAUGCUUCAGCCCAGAGGCCCGGGUUGGCAGCUAGAUCGCGCGGGCAAUCGCGCGGGCAGAGGAAUGGUCAUCCAGAGGGGCAACCCUUGGACAAAAUCCGGCUUACAGGCCAUCCGCACAU